Molecule: ribosomal RNA, 431 nt
Filed under: uncultured bacterium
Lineage: Bacteria
Description: partial 16S ribosomal RNA
Rfam family: Bacterial small subunit ribosomal RNA
Source: RNAcentral
AACGAACGCUGGCGGCAGGCCUAACACAUGCAAGUCGAGCGCCCUUUCGGGGGAGCGGCGGUCUGGUGCGUAACGCGUGGGCAUAUUCCCUUCUCUACGGAAUAGCCUCGGGAGACUGAGAGUAAUACCGUAUACGCCCUGUGGGGGAAAGAUUUAUCGGGGAAGGAUUAGCCCGCGUUGGAUUAGGUAUUUGGUGGGGUAAUGGCCUACCAAGCCGACGAUCCAUAGCUGGUUUGAGAGGAUGAUCAGCCACACUGGGACUGAGACACGGCCCAGACUCCUACGGGAGGCAGCAGUGGGGAAUCUUAGACAAUGGGGGCAACCAUGAUCGAGCCAUGCCGCGUGAGUGAUGAAGGCCUUAGGGUUGUAAAGCUCUUUAAGCUGGGAAGAUAAUGACGGUACCAGCAGAAGAAGCCCCGGCUAACUCCGUG